RNAcentral lists this ribosomal RNA (429 nucleotides) under Fusobacteriota bacterium. RNAcentral's name for it is "Fusobacteria bacterium partial 16S ribosomal RNA". It matches the Rfam family "Bacterial small subunit ribosomal RNA", at positions 355 to 776 of the family's 1533-position model. The record is from RNAcentral. Lineage: Bacteria; Fusobacteriati; Fusobacteriota.
UGGGGAAUAUUGCGCAAUGGGCGAAAGCCUGACGCAGCGACGCCGCGUGAGGGAUGAAGGUUUUCGGAUCGUAAACCUCUGUCAGAAGGGAAGAAACCGCACUGUGCUAAUCAGCAGUGCCUUGACGGUAACUUCAAAGGAAGCACCGGCUAACUCCGUGCCAGCAGCCGCGGUAAUACGGAGGGUGCAAGCGUUAAUCGGAAUUACUGGGCGUAAAGCGCACGUAGGCUGCUUUGUAAGUCAGGGGUGAAAUCCCACGGCUCAACCGUGGAACUGCCUUUGAUACUGCUUAGCUUGAAUCCGGGAGAGGGUGGCGGAAUUCCAGGUGUAGGAGUGAAAUCCGUAGAUAUCUGGAGGAACAUCAGUGGCGAAGGCGGCCACCUGGACCGGUAUUGACGCUGAGGUGCGAAAGCGUGGGGAGCAAACAGG